GAUGAAGAACGUAGCGAAAUGCGAGAAGUAGUGUGAAUUGCAGAAUUCAGUGAAUCAUCGAAUCUUUGAACGCACAUUGCGCCCCUUGGUAUUCCAUGGGGCAUGCCUGUUCGAGCGUCAUUUGUACCUUCAAGCUCUGCUUGGUGUUGGGUGUUUGUCUCGCCUCUGCGUGUAGACUCGCCUCAAAACAAUUGGCAGCCGGCGUAUUGAUUUCGGAGCGCAGUACAUCUCGCGCUUUGCACUCAUAACGACGACGUCCAAAAGUACAUUUUUACACUCUUGACCUCGGAUCAGGUAGGGAUACCCGCUGAACUUAAGCAUAUCAAUAAGCGGAGGA
Molecule: unclassified non-coding RNA, 337 nt
Filed under: soil metagenome
Description: partial contains 5.8S ribosomal RNA, internal transcribed spacer 2, and large subunit ribosomal RNA
Rfam family: 5.8S ribosomal RNA (bases 1-120)
Source: RNAcentral